AUUGAACGCUGGCGGCAUGCUUUACACAUGCAAGUCGAACGGCAGCACGGGCUUCGGCCUGGUGGCGAGUGGCGAACGGGUGAGUAAUAUAUCGGAACGUACCCAGAAGUGGGGGAUAACGUAGCGAAAGUUACGCUAAUACCGCAUACGAUCUAUGGAUGAAAGCAGGGGACCGCAAGGCCUUGUGCUCCUGGAGCGGCCGAUAUCUGAUUAGCUAGUUGGUGAGGUAAAGGCUCACCAAGGCGACGAUCAGCAGCUGGUCUGAGAGGACGACCAGCCACACUGGAACUGAGACACGGUCCAGACUCCUACGGGAGGCAGCAGUGGGGAAUUUUGGACAAUGGGCGCAAGCCUGAUCCAGCAAUGCCGCGUGAGUGAAGAAGGCCUUCGGGUUGUAAAGCUCUUUUGUCAGGGAAGAAACGGUAGAGGCUAAUAUCCUUUGCUAAUGACGGUACCUGAAGAAUAAGCACCGGCUAACUACGUG
This 484-nucleotide ribosomal RNA is filed under the name uncultured bacterium. Its description in RNAcentral is "partial 16S ribosomal RNA". It matches the Rfam family "Bacterial small subunit ribosomal RNA", at positions 30 to 507 of the family's 1533-position model. The record is from RNAcentral.